GGAAGUCUUACAAAAGAUAAAUAUAAAUCAAACUAAAAUUCAUCUUUGGCGCCAAUAAGUCAACUGGGAGACGCCACCUAGAUCAAGUCAAACUCCUCGCUUUGUGGCUCCUCUUGAACCACAUAUUCUUCUCCUGUGGGGGUGUGAGACAGCAAGGGUAAGCUCACACAUGUUCAUCGCUCAACAAGUUGUGGGGAAUAAUGUGGCAUGAACUCACCAAAGGUGGGAGUUCAUGUGAUGUGUAAAGCUGAUCAACAAUAGAGGUUAAAGCUGAGCAUUGCUUUUAAUAAGUUGGUCAAAUUUUAUUAGCAGUUACUAAAUGUAAGUAAAUACCAAACCAUAAUAAAUAAUAUAACAAAAUUAAUAAAUAAUCUCAUGCAAUGCAUAUGACAAAUUGAGUUUAAGUUUCAUAAUUUAAUCAUGCGAGAGUCCUGAGCUGCUCUUGACCAUGAGCUCGGCUAGUAUACCAGUUUUACACUCUGCAGAGGUUGUACCCUGUACCCACAAGUCGUGUAUCCCAUGUUGCCAGGGUUUGCAAGGCCCUUAGACACUACCGAGGUGAAUGGCUAGGGAUCCACUACAAGGUCUUUACAAAGUUCCACUAGCUUUCGAAAAUCCGCUACAGUUUAUGGGAAGACGAGUUGAAAGAAUCCCUCGUCUGACCGCCAUCGUAACAAAAUCAACCCGAGAACCUCCCUGCAUGCAACUCCCCUACUGCCCUUGCCCCUUUCGGGUAAGGUAGUCUUCCACUAGCUUUCCUAAUUAGUCAGCCAAGGGCGUACCAUCCCACCCUUGUGGUGGUACAUGUUUCAUAAGUUAAGCUCCAUGUUCCAAUUAAAGAUAAUGAUGAUCUUGACAUGAACAUAAAUAAAAUAACAACAUAAUUGGAACAUGGAUAUAAUGAAAUAUUAUCCCAAAACCAAUAAAGCAAUAGCAAACUACCCAAAUGAUUCUGGGGUAACAAGGUAAAAGGAUAAACAGACUAGGGUGACCUAUUGGGUCCCAUCAAAAUUAAGCAUAUGCAUGAAUAAAUGAUUAUAAAGAACAUUAUUGGGUAAAUGAAGGUGAUCAAGGGCACAACUUGCCUGGCACUUGAGAUUCUAGGUACAAGGAUGAUCCUCAGGUGACUCGCAACCUCGCUGCUAGUCGUAGCAGUACAAACAAACAUGGUAUGGACAAAAUUAACAUCACACCAAACAUGUAAACAAAAUACACAUUAAUAAUCUACAUAUUAAAAUAAGAUCAUAGGAACAAGAAUCAUUAAUUUUGGAGUUAUAGAUUUUAAGUUAUGAAUUUCUAAAGAUUCUAUGUGUUUUGUACAAGAUUAAAUAGGAUAUAAAUUUUAAUGUGACUUUCAUGUCAAAAUAGUGGCACUAAUUGAUAAACAAUAAUAUAAUAAAAUUAUAGAAAUUGGAAUGGAUUAAUUUGGACUUCAUAUGAAUUUUCUAUGAAUUAGACAAAUUCUAGCAUUUAUUUUUGCAUUAAAAUCAUUUUCUAAUUCCAUUUAUCUGAUAUUCUACCUUCCUGGACUAGCGCACUAAUACAGGGAAGAGCAGGGGCCUCUACGCAAGAAACCCUAGACUCAGAGCACAAUAGUGAGGGACGGCGGGUUCUAUUUUCUAAUUUCUAGGGGGUUCAUAUGAAAGUGUGUUCGCGAAGGGGUAUGGAGCGCCUGGGAUUGUCUGAUUAGAGAUCAACGCAUAGGAUUAGAAUCACCCUUGGCCGAAUCGGUAUGGUUUCUGAGCCAACCGAUCUAGAAUCUAUGGCUCAGAUUUAAAACAGCCAAAGUCCACUAUCUCUCGCCCGAUCCUAACUCAAUGGCUCAGAUUCCAUCGUGUGGAAGGGUACGCGGGCGUCUAAUCUCUACCGUAGAUUAAUGAAUCGACGGCCCGACAACACCGUCGUGCCCUGCCCACACCGGUCGCCAGGAUUCGACCCGCGCGCGGUGGCGCCAUGGCUGAGCAACGCACCUCGGGCUCGGCUACACUAUUCUACAAUUCAGUAAGGCAUAACGUAGAGGAGGGGAAGGCGAACAUGGUGGGAACUCACCUUUGGCCGACCGAGGUACGGUGACGCCCGACCACGGAGAAGGGCGGAAGCAAGGACACGACUGCGCUCCGACGAACGAUUCCGGGCUCCACCGACUCCAAUCCUUGAUCGGUGCGGCAGGAACUCAAACACUGGAGUUCAGCGAUGACUCGAACACCCGAUUGAGCCCCCAAUCGACCCCAUAGACCGGUGGCAGUGGAGCACUCCCCUCCCGUGUGGUAGCGGCGGCGAUCUUUCGGUGUCGGGUGGUACCGGGUCUGGCGGACAGGGCAAGCACGAAGGGGGUCAGGAGUCACCAAUAUGUAGCCGCCAUGGGGGAGGUCGGUUGUGGGUGCCCCCCAACG
Molecule: long non-coding RNA, 2393 nt
Filed under: Zea mays
Lineage: Eukaryota; Viridiplantae; Streptophyta; Magnoliopsida; Poales; Poaceae
Description: long non-coding RNA (ZMAY_LNC002769)
Source: RNAcentral